AUGGUGCCGGGGUUCACCAAGUUUGAUGUGGUGAAAUUCGAUGGCACGGGUAACUUUGGUCUAUGGCAGACAAGAGUCAAGGAUAUUCUAGCGCAGCAGGGAAUCUUGAAGGGUUUGCAGGAAACGAAGCCGGCCAAGGUUGACAAUGAUGCGUGGGAGGAUAUGCAAGUGCAGGCGGCCGCUACCAUACAGCUUUGUCUUAUGUAUCAGGUUAUGUAUCAUGUCAUGGUCGAAGCUUCUCCCAAGGGAAUUUGGGAUAAAUUGGCAAAUCGUUAUAUGUCCAAGUCAGCGACCAAUAAGUUGUAUUUGAAGCAAAAGUUCUAUGGGCUGAAGAUGCAGGAGGGGUCGGAUCUUGUGGAGCAUGUGAAUGCCUUUAAUCAAUUGGUCACGGAUCUAGCGCGUCUGGAUGUGAAGAUUGAUGAUGAGGAUAAGGCACUAUUUCUUCUUAUUUUUUUGCCACUGCCCUAUGAGCAUUUGGUCAUUACAUUGACACAUGGAAAGACAACCAUCAAUAAUGACGAAGUCACUGCAGCGUUGCUUGGACAUGAGUUGAUGAAGCAAAAGAAUGCUGCAGAAAGGGAGAGUACUCAAGGUUUGGGGUUGGCAGUUAAAGGUUAUCAGCCCAGGAAGGGACAAGAGGCGGAGAAGAAAAGGAAGAAAAGGAUGCAGUGCUACAGGUGCAAGGACUGGGGACAUAUAAAGAGGGAAUGCCCAGAACUGAGGGUGAGGCAAGAGCUAAUGCGGCUACUCAUGGUGAUGACUCGAACAGUGAUAGUGAUGUUCUCGUAG
This 789-nucleotide ribosomal RNA is filed under the name Triticum aestivum (bread wheat). Its description in RNAcentral is "partial small subunit ribosomal RNA". The record is from RNAcentral. Lineage: Eukaryota; Viridiplantae; Streptophyta; Magnoliopsida; Poales; Poaceae.